Molecule: ribosomal RNA, 305 nt
Filed under: uncultured bacterium
Lineage: Bacteria
Description: bacterial SSU rRNA
Rfam family: Bacterial small subunit ribosomal RNA
Source: RNAcentral
GCUCCUACGGGAGGCAGCAGUGAGGAAUAUUGGUCAAUGGGAGAGAUCCUGAACCAGCCAAGCCGCGUGAGGGAAGACGGCCCUAUGGGUUGUAAACCUCUUUUGUCGGAGAACAAAACCCGGGACGUGUCCCGGACUGCGUGUAUCCGAAGAAAAAGCAUCGGCUAACUCCGUGCCAGCAGCCGCGGUAAUACGGAGGAUGCGAGCGUUAUCCGGAUUUAUUGGGUUUAAAGGGUGCGUAGGUUGUUUUAUAAGUUAGCGGUGAAAUACAGAUGCUCAACAUCGGGGCUGCCGCUAAUAUUGUA